UUCUAACAUAGUACAAACAGAAGAUAAACUGAAUAACAUAAAAAGAUCAAUACAGAUUCCACUUUAUGAAGGAAGUAGAUAGAAGUUGAUGAGGAGAAACCGUCAUCUCACGCUUCAAACAACCUGAAACCAACUUACAUCAACAAAAGGUGUAGCAAGAAUAGUAUCAAUACACCACGCGUACUGAGUAGAUAUCAUAGGUCAACUUGAAUGAGUGACCAGUAAUGCGACUUGUAGAAGACUCCCUCCCUAUACCUAGCGGAGUUGGCACUAAUAAGGAGAGCAGAAAGCAGCUACCGGCCAUCAAAAGAUCCACGACUUUAAGAUCCGCAUGCAAGGGAAGAUCCGCUUAUUCUUUGAGAUGACAAAGCUCCCCACUAGACGCAAAUUCCGAAGCUUUAGUUUCGUUACCGGCCAGAGCUCCUAGCCCUUUUGAUUCUGUUUUAUCUCAGUUAAACUCCACACCUCCAGGAAAUCCGCGAAUUCGAGUCACGGGAAUAGACCCACCACUGAUUCAUUCAAUUCCAGCUGCUGAUUCAACAAGUUCGGAUGGUAGGGUAGGGUCAGGCUUGGACGAAUGAGUUCUAAGUAAAACAUCACAAAAUCAAAAUCAAUAGAAACAACAAUUUACAUAUGCAGAUAACUAUAUUACAUCUACAUUCCACUUAAACACACAUUACUCUCAAUCCACACUACUCAAUCUCAUGUCUUAUUAAUAGUUACCUUAUAACUAUAUUACAUCUACAUUCCACUUAAACACACAU
This 764-nucleotide long non-coding RNA is filed under the name Solanum tuberosum (potato). Its description in RNAcentral is "long non-coding RNA (STUB_LNC007059)". The record is from RNAcentral. Lineage: Eukaryota; Viridiplantae; Streptophyta; Magnoliopsida; Solanales; Solanaceae.